CUGCCCUCAAGCACGGCUUGUGUGUUGGGUCGCCGUCCCCCCGGGGACGGGCCCGAAAGGCAGCGGCGGCACCGCGUCCGGUCCUCGAGCGUAUGGGGCUUCGUCACCCGCUCUGUAGGCCCGGCCGGCGCUGGCCGACAACCCAUCAAUCUUUUUUCCA
This 160-nucleotide unclassified non-coding RNA is filed under the name uncultured Aspergillaceae. RNAcentral describes it as "sequence contains ITS2". The record is from RNAcentral. Lineage: Eukaryota; Fungi; Ascomycota; Eurotiomycetes; Eurotiales; Aspergillaceae.